UGGGGAAUUUUGGACAAUGGGCGCGAGCCUGAUCCAGCCAUGCCGCGUGCGGGAAGAAGGCCUUCGGGUUGUAAACCGCUUUUGUCAGGGAAGAAAUCUUCUGAGUUAAUACCUCGGGAGGAUGACGGUACCUGAAGAAUAAGCACCGGCUAACUACGUGCCAGCAGCCGCGGUAAUACGUAGGGUGCAAGCGUUAAUCGGAAUUACUGGGCGUAAAGCGUGCGCAGGCGGUUUUGUAAGACAGAGGUGAAAUCCCCGGGCUCAACCUGGGAACUGCCUUUGUGACUGCAAGGCUUGAGUGCGGCAGAGGGGGAUGGAAUUCCGCGUGUAGCAGUGAAAUGCGUAGAUAUGCGGAGGAACACCGAUGGCGAAGGCAAUCCCCUGGGCCUGCACUGACGCUCAUGCACGAAAGCGUGGGGAGCAAACAGGAUUAGAUACCCUGGUAGUCCACGCCCUAAACGAUGUCAACUGGUUGUUGGGAAGGUUCCUUCUCAGUAACGUAGCUAACGCGUGAAGUUGACCGCCUGGGGAGUACGGCCGCAAGGUUG
Molecule: ribosomal RNA, 548 nt
Filed under: uncultured bacterium
Lineage: Bacteria
Description: partial 16S ribosomal RNA
Rfam family: Bacterial small subunit ribosomal RNA
Source: RNAcentral